GCUGCAGGCUAUGAGCACUCCAGGUAAUGAUAUAAACGUGUCUUUCAUACUUCCAUAUUUUCAACUUUUAACAGCACUGUGACAUGUCACCUUUUGAUCUCUGUGCUGCCACACAGGCUUCCCUCCCUGCCCCUUGAAAAGCUUUUUCUAACUGCAGCUGAGACCUUGGCUCCAACAACAAGCAUGAGACCUGUAAGGUUUCUCCUGCUUUGUGAGAUGAGACAAUGCUAUAAGAGAGCACAUAAGGGAUACUGCCUUGG
This is a long non-coding RNA of Corapipo altera (White-ruffed manakin), 260 nucleotides long. RefSeq lists it as uncharacterized. The transcript has 3 exons. Lineage: Eukaryota; Metazoa; Chordata; Aves; Passeriformes; Pipridae. The record is from RefSeq and is a predicted model, not a curated record.